GCUUGCUUUGGCAGCGCAUAUACUAAAACUGGAACGUACAGAGGAGAUUAUCAUGGCCCUUGUGCAAGGAUGACACACAAAUUCAUGAAGCGUUCCAUAUUAAA
Molecule: small nuclear RNA, 104 nt
Organism: Perognathus longimembris pacificus (Pacific pocket mouse)
Lineage: Eukaryota; Metazoa; Chordata; Mammalia; Rodentia; Heteromyidae
Source: RefSeq, a predicted model, not a curated record